GCGCUGCCAUCGUGAACUGACGGUCUUCUCGGGCAACGGAAAUAGUGUUGAGCACAUCGUUCUUGUUCAUUACAUAGACGUUUAAGAGGUGGUAUGGCAGACAGGAUAUCUAAUGAUCCAUCGACACCAACACAUUCACCGGCUAAGACACCAAUGGUGCCCACACGAUCUUCCCCACGCACGAAGACGGUGAAAUCCAUGGCUGAGCCUGUGUCCCGAGCCUCAAAAAUAAAAUGGACUCUUGAUAUGGAUCAGGUUAUGAUCAACAUAUUUCUGAAACAAGUGACAUUGGGACGCAAGGACGAUAAUGGUUUCAAACGUGAGGCGUACCAAAUUACUGCCGACGCCGUU
This is a long non-coding RNA of Magnolia sinica, 351 nucleotides long. RefSeq lists it as uncharacterized. NCBI's taxonomy places the organism in Eukaryota, Viridiplantae, Streptophyta, Magnoliopsida, Magnoliales, Magnoliaceae. The transcript is spliced from 3 exons. The record is from RefSeq and is a predicted model, not a curated record.